AAAAUGAACGUUUUUCCCCUUUAAGUGAAUUUCAGUUAACUUGGCUAUUCUCCUCCCUCUAAUUGAGGGAAAGGCCCCCUGCUUUCCCCAUCACAGGGAGGGGGCGGAGCAUCCUCUGAGAAGCUUGGGAGUGAGCUGUGCCAGGCCAGUCUUGGGGGAGGAGCUGCAUUUCACGAGGCUGCAGCUGACAAGAAGCUUCAAGGCAGCCUGUCUCCUUCUGGAGUGAGAAUCAAGACAACCCGAUCACAGGGCCAGACUCUACAUCAGGUAAGGCUCUUCCCAUUUCACAAAAUAUUUCAAAUUAAAAACAUAU
This 313-nucleotide long non-coding RNA is filed under the name Camelus dromedarius (Arabian camel). RNAcentral's name for it is "lncRNA (ENSCDRG00005019655.1)". The record is from RNAcentral. Lineage: Eukaryota; Metazoa; Chordata; Mammalia; Artiodactyla; Camelidae.